CUUCCCUUCUCUGUGGGACAAGGAACCUUCCACUGGCAGCAAAACAGAGGCAACUGCCAUGUCCUGUACUGAAGAUGAAGAAAGACAAUGCCAUUUACCAGUCCUUUAUUUGAAUGUGGGAUCAAUUAUUAGAGUAAAAUGCCACGUGCAGCACUGGGAUCACUUCAAUACCCAGCUGUUAAUGGAUGGACUGGCAGGAAGAGCCCCAGCCUUGUCCUGAUGAGUAAACACAAUUCCGGGAAAAGCUUUCCUACGCCCUCUGCUGGUUUUCCA
Pyrgilauda ruficollis (rufous-necked snowfinch) is the source of this 273-nucleotide long non-coding RNA. RefSeq lists it as uncharacterized. NCBI's taxonomy places the organism in Eukaryota, Metazoa, Chordata, Aves, Passeriformes, Passeridae. The transcript is spliced from 3 exons. The record is from RefSeq and is a predicted model, not a curated record.